GACGAACGCUGGCGGCGUGCUUAACACAUGCAAGUCGAACGGAAAGGCCUCUUUCGGGGGGUACUCGAGUGGCGAACGGGUGAGUAACACGUGAGUAACCUGCCCUCGACUUUGGGAUAACUUCAGGAAACUGGGGCUAAUACCGGAUAGGAGCUCCUGCUGCAUGGUGGGGGUUGGAAAGUUUCGGCGGUUGGGGAUGGACUCGCGGCUUAUCAGCUUGUUGGUGGGGUAGUGGCUUACCAAGGCUUUGACGGGUAGCCGGCCUGAGAGGGUGACCGGCCACAUUGGGACUGAGAUACGGCCCAGACUCCUACGGGAGGCAGCAGUGGGGAAUAUUGCACAAUGGGUGGAAGCCUGAUGCAGCAACGCCGUGUGCGGGAUGACGGCCUUCGGGUUGUAAACCGCUUUCGCUCAUGACGAAGCUUUGUGUGACGGUAGUGGGUAAAGAAGCACCGGCUAACUACGUG
This 467-nucleotide ribosomal RNA is filed under the name uncultured bacterium. RNAcentral's name for it is "partial 16S ribosomal RNA". It matches the Rfam family "Bacterial small subunit ribosomal RNA", at positions 28 to 507 of the family's 1533-position model. The record is from RNAcentral.